This 387-nucleotide ribosomal RNA is filed under the name uncultured bacterium. RNAcentral describes it as "bacterial SSU rRNA". It matches the Rfam family "Bacterial small subunit ribosomal RNA", at positions 28 to 413 of the family's 1533-position model. The record is from RNAcentral.
GAUGAACGCUAGCGGGAGGCCUAAUACAUGCAAGUCGAGCGGUAGAAUGACUUCGGUUGUUUGAGAGCGGCGAACGGGUGAGUAACGCGUACACAAUCUACCUUUAAGAGGGGAAUAGCCCUGGGAAACUGGGAUUAAUGCCCCAUGGCAUCACGGGAUGGCAUCGUUUUGUGAUUAAAGCUGAGGUGCUUAAAGAUGAGUGUGCGUCUGAUUAGCUAGUUGGUACGGUAACGGCGUACCAAGGCGACGAUCAGUAGGGGGGCGUGAGAGCGUGGACCCCCACACGGGUACUGAGACACGGACCCGACUCCUACGGGAGGCAGCAGUAAGGAAUACUGGUCAAUAGGAGGAAACUACUGAACCAGCCAUCCCGCGUGCAGGAAGAAU